UACGUAGGGUGCAAGCGUUAAUCGGAAUUACUGGGCGUAAAGCGUGCGCAGGCGGUGAUGCAAGACAGAUGUGAAAUCCCCGGGCUUAACCUGGGAACUGCAUUUGUGACUGCAUUGCUGGAGUGCGGCAGAGGGGGAUGGAAUUCCACGUGUAGCAGUGAAAUGCGUAGAUAUGUGGAGGAAUACCGAUGGCGAAGGCAGCCCCCUGGGAUAACACUGACGCUCAUGCACGAAAGCGUGGGGAGCAAACAGG
This 253-nucleotide ribosomal RNA is filed under the name uncultured bacterium. Its description in RNAcentral is "partial 16S ribosomal RNA". It matches the Rfam family "Bacterial small subunit ribosomal RNA", at positions 524 to 776 of the family's 1533-position model. The record is from RNAcentral.